GCGGGGGCUGUUUACUGCCUCAUAAACUUGGAAGCAAGUGAUAUUGUCUCCUAAAUCAAUGGCUGCGCGGACAGCCUUGGCGCUCCAGGAGAACAGCACGGCCAGGCCGCGCCCGUGCUGAAAUUAAUGACUGGAGCAGUGACUGGAAGGUGCUUAGUCACUGCCGAGGGGAUUAGGAGCCAUUCCAGGGGACGAGCAGCCAGCCGAUGCUGAUGAGUCGGGGGCCGGAUGCCCCAACCAGAGCUCUGUGAUUAACCAGCUGAGUAAGCCUGCUUGGACCCCCAGAUCAGAAAGAGUCCAUCUCCCUGAGCUUACCACAGUAUGCACUGACCUAUGAUGGCACAGAUUUCUCUAAACAUGCUGUGCAGGUCAUCCAGCAAUGGAGAAUAUAGAAAACUUCCAGAGAUAGAGAAGCCCUUCUGCUUCCAGCCCCCUGAUAAGGUAUAAGAGAGACAGAUUUUUAAUAAUGUAUAUCCAAAUAGGAGAGAAAAAGAUUCUGAAACUCUAACCUUGAGACGACUCUAACCCUACAUAUGAUAUAUGACCAGCAGCCACAUGUUUUCCAUCAUUUUAAAAUAGACUUUUAUGUAUUUUAGAAAUGUUUUCCAUAAGCAUGUAUUUCUUCAACAAUCACAAAACAUUAAAUUUAUAAUAAAACGAAUAUGAAGAUGAAAGAGAAGAGACCCACAGAGUCUUUUCUACAUUUUUCCAUCCUGAAUUAUACACACACACACACACACACACACAUGCACACAGAGGUUUUAUUUUUAAAACUAAAAUGGUGGUUUUUAAUGGGAACCAGAG
RNAcentral lists this long non-coding RNA (804 nucleotides) under Homo sapiens (human). Its description in RNAcentral is "HSALNT0338005". Lineage: Eukaryota; Metazoa; Chordata; Mammalia; Primates; Hominidae. The record is from RNAcentral.